GUAAGCACCGUCCAGAGAAAAUCCCAUGCACUGAGAACUGAAGAAUUGCUCAGCGCUCCUGAGAUUUCCUGGUGACAUCAGCAGACACCGUCAGCCGUGCUGAAAGUGACCCAUCUUUCCGUUAAACUGCUUCUGAAAGGCUUCUGGCCUCUCUAGAGCUGUCUCUGUGUAUCUGGACAUGUAACACUGAAAAUACUUUAAGAGAAGCUUGAAGAAUGGUGUCACCUGGAGUAAUUGGAGAGUCAGAUUUUCUCUUUAUGUCACCAUUCUGUACAAAAGUGAGCAAAAGGCCUUAUGAAUGGACAGGUAGAAGAGCGAUUUCUAAUGAAGAUGGAUGUGUUGUUACUGCUGUGUAGCAGAGCAUUAAACUUUCUGACACAGGCUGAAGUCACCACAUUAUAACAGCCUAAAAAGACGUGCAGUGAUGGGUAAAAGAAGGUCUUCCUGUACAGACCCCACAGGAAGAGCAGGAGACCUUCAAAGAGGAGAGAUUCUGUCUACUACAUCAACAGCAAAACAUUAACAGCUGGGAAUCUGGAGAAGAUGAGGAAAACAACAUUAGGAAGCAAGACUGAGAAUCAAUGGCAAAUAAGGAAAAAAGAUUUUUAAGUUAAUAAA
This is a long non-coding RNA of Lepidothrix coronata (blue-crowned manakin), 618 nucleotides long. RefSeq lists it as uncharacterized. The record is from RefSeq and is a predicted model, not a curated record. Lineage: Eukaryota; Metazoa; Chordata; Aves; Passeriformes; Pipridae. The transcript is spliced from 4 exons.